Molecule: transfer RNA, 69 nt
Filed under: Stenopirates sp. NKU01
Lineage: Eukaryota; Metazoa; Arthropoda; Insecta; Hemiptera; Enicocephalidae
Description: tRNA-Lys
Source: RNAcentral
UAUUAAGUGGCUGAAAUUUAUAAGCAAUGGUCUCUUAAACCAAUAUAUAGUAAUAAUUACUCUUAAUAA